UGGUUUCCUUCCAGCCAAAGGGCUUCUUCCUUUUUCAUGUAUUCCUCUUUCACCCAGAGCAGCUGCAGGAUUCAGACCUACAAGAUGCUCCAUGAGGUGGAAAUUGAUCCGUGAGCCAGCUGUGCUGUUCUUGGGUUGGUCCUGUCUCAGUCUUUGAACUUCUAAGGAGAAUAAAAGCAUCCAACUAAGAAAUCUGAAGACCACUGGACAAAUGAGACAUCUGAAGAAGAGGGGAGAGUCAUCCAGACUAAAUAUCCCAAGAAAAGGAGUACAUUGGCCUAACAGAAUAGCACAUUUCCAACAGUAUAAAAUUUUAUAAAUCUUCACAAAUGUUUGUUUCUGCUGUUCUCUACAGACAUAUAAGGCAAAUGGCUUUUUUGUAGUAUCAAUUCAAUUAAAAAUUAAAGCUGG
This 411-nucleotide long non-coding RNA is filed under the name Cricetulus griseus (Chinese hamster). RNAcentral describes it as "lncRNA (ENSCGRG00015034621.1)". Lineage: Eukaryota; Metazoa; Chordata; Mammalia; Rodentia; Cricetidae. The record is from RNAcentral.